Molecule: ribosomal RNA, 570 nt
Filed under: Varanus bengalensis
Lineage: Eukaryota; Metazoa; Chordata; Lepidosauria; Squamata; Varanidae
Description: partial 16S ribosomal RNA
Rfam family: Bacterial large subunit ribosomal RNA
Source: RNAcentral
UACGUGUUUUCGUGUCAGAGGUAACGCCUGCCCAGUGAGCACAUUUCAACGGCCGCGGUAUCCUAACCGUGCAAAGGUAGCGCAAUCACUUGUCCCCUAAAUAGUGACUAGUAUGAACAGCUAUACGAGAAUAAACCUGUCUCUUUUGACAAAUCAGUGAAACUGAUCUUCCAGUACAAAAGCUGGAAUACCGACAUAAGACGAAAAGACCCUGUGGAGCCUCAAUAUCACUCUAUCCCCAUUAGCACAAAUAUUUUAGUUGGGGCAACUUCGGAACAAAACUAAACUUCCGAGCAUGCUCCGGAAACACCGCUAUCAAGACAAACAUGUCAAAACCCGAGCCAGAUCCAGUAACCCACUGACCAACGAACCAAGUUACCCCAGGGAUAACAGCGCCAUCUUCUUCUAGAGACCCCAUCGACAAGAAGGUUUACGACCUCGAUGCUGGAUCAGGACGCCCCAGCAGCGCAGCCGCUACUAAAGGUUCGUUUGUUCAACGAUUAAAGCCCUACGUGAUCUGAGUUCAAACCGGAGAUCCGCCUGUUUAUCAAAAACAUGCCCUGUUUUGCA